Molecule: long non-coding RNA, 298 nt
Filed under: Ananas comosus (pineapple)
Lineage: Eukaryota; Viridiplantae; Streptophyta; Magnoliopsida; Poales; Bromeliaceae
Description: long non-coding RNA (ACOM_LNC000989)
Source: RNAcentral
GUAAAGAACCAAUGUAAUGUAAAGAAUGAUGAAAAUGACAAUGCUUAAAGUUAAAGUCAUGUGGGAAGUAAAGAAUAUGAAGCGCUAGAGGUAGCGAAAAAUAAAGAAUUGUAAAGAAUGUGUUCGCAUGAGUUUGCAACAAAAAGUGAUGAAAGAACACUAGAGCUAGUGUAAAGUCAAGAUUGAACUUAUAAAUCCUUUGAGUUAAGGAUAUGAUCAUAUUUGCUAUGAGUUCCGUGCUCGAGGGCGGUCGCUCCCCCUCGGGCGAUGCGCUCCGAAGUUAUGCAUCACGGGUUGG